ACGAACGCUGGCGGCGUGCUUAACACAUGCAAGUCGAACGAUGAACCUCCUUCGGGAGGGGAUUAGUGGCGAACGGGUGAGUAACACGUGGGCAAUCUGCCCUGCACUCUGGGACAAGCCCUGGAAACGGGGUCUAAUACCGGAUACUGAUCAUCUUGGGCAUCCUUGGUGAUAGAAAGCUCCGGCGGUGCAGGAUGAGCCCGCGGCCUAUCAGCUUGUUGGUGAGGUAAUGGCUCACCAAGGCGACGACGGGUAGCCGGCCUGAGAGGGCGACCGGCCACACUGGGACUGAGACACGGCCCAGACUCAUACGGGAGGCAGCAGUGGGGAAUAUUGCACAAUGGGGGAAAGCCUGAAGCAGUGACGCCGCGUGAGGGAUGACGGCAUUGGGGUUGUAAACAUGUUUCAGCAGGGAAGAAGAGAAAGUGACGGUACGUGCAGAAGAAGCGCCGGCUAACUA
RNAcentral lists this ribosomal RNA (460 nucleotides) under Streptomyces werraensis. RNAcentral's name for it is "bacterial SSU rRNA". It matches the Rfam family "Bacterial small subunit ribosomal RNA", at positions 29 to 503 of the family's 1533-position model. Lineage: Bacteria; Bacillati; Actinomycetota; Actinomycetes; Kitasatosporales; Streptomycetaceae. The record is from RNAcentral.